GACGAACGCUGGCGGCGUGCUUAACACAUGCAAGUCGAACGGAAAGGCACUGCGUUCGUGGGGUGCUCGAGUGGCGAACGGGUGCGUAACACGUGUGUAACCUGCUCUACACUUUGGGAUAAGUUCAGGAAACUGGGCCUAAGAUCGUACAGGAGCCCCCGUUGCAUGGUGGGGGUUGGAAAGUCUCUGCGGUCGGGGCUGGAUUCGCGGCUUAUCAGUUUGUUGGUCGGGUAGUGGCAUACCAAGGAAUUGGCGGAUAGCCGGCUUGAGAGGGUGACCGGCCACAAUGGGACUGAGGGACGGCGCAGACGCCUACAGGGGGCAGAGGGGGGGAAUAUUGCACAGUGAGCGGGAGCGUGAUGAGGCGACGCUGCGUGCGGGAUGACGGCUUUCGGGUUGAGAACCGCUGUAGGCUGUGACGAAGCGUGUGUGACGGUAAUGAGUAAAGAAGCACCGGCUAACUACGUG
RNAcentral lists this ribosomal RNA (468 nucleotides) under uncultured bacterium. RNAcentral's name for it is "partial 16S ribosomal RNA". It matches the Rfam family "Bacterial small subunit ribosomal RNA", at positions 28 to 507 of the family's 1533-position model. The record is from RNAcentral.